GGAUGUGAGGGCGAUCUGGCUGCGACAUUUGUCACCCCAUUGAUUGCCAGGGUUGAUUCGGCUGAUCUGGCUGUCUAGGCGGGUGUCUCCUUCCUCCCUCAACACUCCAUGUGCGUCCCUCCCGAAGCUGCACGCUCGGUCGAAGAGGAUGACCACCCCCAAUAGAGGAGGACCGUUCCUCGGUCAAGGGUAUACGAGUAGCUGUGCUCCCCUGCUAGAACCUCCAAACAAGCUCUCAGGAAACACCCCAGAGCACUCCCCUGCCCCUUCACCUGCCCCCUCCAGCAAGAAAAUGAUCUAUAAACCCUGAAACCCAGCCUCAGCAGACAAUGAAUUUGUUGGUUCCUUGA
RNAcentral lists this small nuclear RNA (350 nucleotides) under Chinchilla lanigera (long-tailed chinchilla). RNAcentral describes it as "7SK RNA (ENSCLAG00000021968.1)". It matches the Rfam family "7SK RNA". From Rfam's summary of the family: 7SK was discovered as an abundant small nuclear RNA in the mid-70s but a possible function has only recently been suggested. Two independent studies have found that 7SK RNA binds the CDK9/cyclin T complex (known as elongation factor P-TEFb). P-TEFb activates transcription by phosphorylating the C-terminal domain of RNA polymerase II. Lineage: Eukaryota; Metazoa; Chordata; Mammalia; Rodentia; Chinchillidae. The record is from Rfam by way of RNAcentral.